Molecule: small nuclear RNA, 102 nt
Filed under: Prolemur simus (greater bamboo lemur)
Lineage: Eukaryota; Metazoa; Chordata; Mammalia; Primates; Lemuridae
Source: RNAcentral
GUGCUCGCUUCGGCACCACAUAUACUAAAAUUGGAACGAUACAGAGAAGAUUAGCAUGGCCCCUGCACAAAUUUGUAAAAACGUGGAUUGCAUUGCAUAUAA